Molecule: long non-coding RNA, 322 nt
Filed under: Ananas comosus (pineapple)
Lineage: Eukaryota; Viridiplantae; Streptophyta; Magnoliopsida; Poales; Bromeliaceae
Description: long non-coding RNA (ACOM_LNC014217)
Source: RNAcentral
AUUUUUUUUAUUUUAGUAUUCUAUGUUUUAAAGUGUAUUAAGUUAAUGUCGACUUGUGGUUUCAUUUUUAUCUUUUUGCCACUUUUUUCGUUAAUAUUUCGUUAAAUUAUAUAUAAAAAACUUCAGAUAUCCCAUCUAGGUUUAUCGAAUAUUAUUUUUAGUAUCUUUUAGUUUUAACUUUGUCACUAAUUUAACGAAAAAAAUUAGUGAAAGCAAUAAUAAAAAAAUAAAAAUGAAACCACAGGAUACUAAAGUGAGAAAGUGUGAAACCAUAGAAGUAGUAUUUGAAGUUUUCUCGUAAAAAAGAAUUCAAAUUUUACAC